GCGCCAGUCGUCUAAUGGUGAGGACGCAAGGUUUUCAACCUUGUAAUGUCGGUUCGACUCCGUCCUGGCGCACCA
Molecule: transfer RNA, 75 nt
Filed under: Hahella sp. KA22
Lineage: Bacteria; Pseudomonadati; Pseudomonadota; Gammaproteobacteria; Oceanospirillales; Hahellaceae
Also listed under: 3 other names
Description: tRNA-Glu
Rfam family: tRNA
About the family: Transfer RNA (tRNA) molecules are approximately 80 nucleotides in length. Their secondary structure includes four short double-helical elements and three loops (D, anti-codon, and T loops).
Source: RNAcentral